Long non-coding RNA from Triplophysa rosa, 585 nucleotides. RefSeq lists it as uncharacterized. NCBI's taxonomy places the organism in Eukaryota, Metazoa, Chordata, Actinopteri, Cypriniformes, Nemacheilidae. The transcript is spliced from 3 exons. The record is from RefSeq and is a predicted model, not a curated record.
UGAAGAGCUACAUGAAAGCUGGUUUUGUCUGUUUAUGUGUUUAAUAGCAUUACAAUAAAGCACUGUGCCUGUUCUAUUAAAAGGAAGAGAAGCAAAGAAAAAAUGUGAAGAUGGUUGAGCUUCUGUUGACCAGUAAGGUGGAUGUAAAUGCAGUAGACUAUAAAGGAAACAUAGGGCUGCACUAUGCUUGCCAAAGAAAAAGUCGGAGAAUUGUUCCAUUGUUGUUGUUGAAAAAUGCAGAUGUUUCAAUACAGAACAAAAAUCAUGAAACACCACUAGAUAUUGCUAAGAGGCUGAAAUUCCACAAAAUCGUGGAAAUGUUAACAAAAUCAACGUGAAAGUAUAUAAGGACAUUAAAGGACGAAAGUGCGUUAUGUGCACCUACAGUUGGAUCCUUUUCUAAUUUGUUGGCUUUGCACCAGUUUUCACAAGAAACUUUUGAUACAAACAUUCUAUUACACUUCCUGUUAUAAUAAUACAUUUCUCAUAUGAAAGAUGUUGCCAUACUGAUUUCUGUUUAAACAAGUGAAUAUAAUCAACUGAGUUUUGUUAAAAGCAAUGAAUAAAUGUUUAUUAUGUGUACAA